CCUACGGGGUGCAGCAGUCGAGAAUCAUUCACAAUGGGGGAAACCCUGAUGGUGCGACGCCGCGUGGGGGAAUGAAGGUCUUCGGAUUGUAAACCCCUGUCAUGUGGGAGCAAAUAAAAAAGAUAGUACCACAAGAGGAAGAGACGGCUAACUCUGUGCAAGCAGCCGCGGUACUACAGAGGUCUCAAGCGUUGUUCGGAAUCACUGGGCGUAAAGCGUGCGUAGGCUGUUUCGUAAGUCGUGUGUGAAAGGCGCGGGCUCAACCCGAGGACGGCACAAGAAACUGCGAGACUAGAGUAAUGGAGGGGGAACCGGAAUUCUCGGUGUAGCAGUGAAAUGCGUAGAUAUCGAGAGGAACACUCGUGGCGAAGGCGGGUUCCUGGACAUUAACUGACGCUGAGGCACGAAGGCCAGGGGAGCGAAAGGGAUUAGAUACCCCUGUAGUC
This 446-nucleotide ribosomal RNA is filed under the name uncultured bacterium. Its description in RNAcentral is "partial 16S ribosomal RNA". It matches the Rfam family "Bacterial small subunit ribosomal RNA", at positions 338 to 795 of the family's 1533-position model. The record is from RNAcentral.